CGGGCUUCCUCCCCCCUAAGUGGUGGUGGCUACAGAACCUAGAGGCCCAGAGGGUGGGAGCUGCUCUUCCCAGGCCUCUCCAGCGGCAGCGCCAGGAAGGAGCCACAUUCAUAUGGCCUGGCAGGGAAGCUGCUCUCUGGAGAGACGGAGGUCCCUGCAGCCCUGCCUGGGUCAUAAUCACAGAGCAACUCGGAGCCUCAGUACCAUCUCAGAGAUGCCCACAGAACCUUGCUGAAUGAAUCUGAGUGAGUGAGCAAAUAACAACGCUAAUAGAGGAGCAGGGGCCGGGGCACAGGGGCCCAGGGCCCAGGGCACAGGGCCUGGGCCUGGGAGGAGAGGAGAGAGAAGCAGCCAUGACCUCUGGCAGGACAGGAAAAGAGCACGGAGGGUCUCCAUGCGCUGUGGCCUUGCCGGUCCCAGGACUGCAGGAAGCAGGCAUUGGUGGAAGUGCAGGGCGAGGGUGACACUCAGGGGCCAGUGACACAGCAAGCAGAGGCCACUCCUGACCUUUCCCUCAGGGCCCACGCCACCUGAGUUCCGAAAUCCUCGCCACCACACCAGGCUCAGUCCAGGAGCCCUGACCCAUGCCCUCUGCCCAGUCCCUGGGGCUCCUGCUGCCCUGAACCUGUG
Molecule: long non-coding RNA, 630 nt
Filed under: Cavia porcellus (domestic guinea pig)
Lineage: Eukaryota; Metazoa; Chordata; Mammalia; Rodentia; Caviidae
Description: lncRNA (ENSCPOG00000038871.1)
Source: RNAcentral